UAUACCAAGGACAGUUUUAGAAGAGAGGAAGAGAAAAGAAUGAAAAAAUUGAUGUCUUGGAAUGGGGGAAGAGCUCUCUAUUUAUAGAGCUAGGAAAGAAUAAAAUAAAUAAAAGAAAUUAAAACCAACAAAUAAUUUGACCGUUGCAGCACUUAAAAAUUUGGUUGUUGGAAUAUUACCGUUGGAGCACAUUAUUGGCAAUUAAAGUUUUGAAAGUUGUAAUCCAACGUUUUCUUUUGCAAUAAUAUAAUCAUUAUUACAACAAUCCCCC
Molecule: long non-coding RNA, 271 nt
Filed under: Vigna radiata
Lineage: Eukaryota; Viridiplantae; Streptophyta; Magnoliopsida; Fabales; Fabaceae
Description: long non-coding RNA (VRAD_LNC008320)
Source: RNAcentral